UAAAUGAAAACACAAUUGAUAGAAAAAGAGAGGAGAGCAAAACAAAGUGAUUUUUUACAACGACAACGAAAACUACAUCCUGUUAACAUGGCUAGUUCACAAGUGCUUUUAGAGAGUUCACAAGCACAAAGUUUUUCACAACCACAAAGAUUUGGACCUGACUUACAGGAAGAAUACGAGAAUCAUAUGAGUUCAAAUGAAUGCAAUUUGGAACAUCAUGUAGAUGAUGAAGCCGAGUUUAGUGAUGGAUUGCAUAUUCUUAACGGCGAGAUACCGGUAUGCAAGAUGAACAACAAAUGGAUCAAGAGCACGAAAGUGAGAAAAUAGCACUUUCAAAAAGGAAGCGAACCAGAGGACCAACUAUGUGUAAAGAUGUCCAUGAAUGGACAUUAGAAGAGCGUAAGCCUAUCGUUCUUAAUGAAAUGGGAAAACCUAUUGGCCCGAUGAUAAGACUGUAGAUAAAUUCACAAGAUUCUUAUGGACUUUAGCUCGUAAUUCUUCUCUUGCACCGUUGAACAAGAUUAGUAGGCUUCAUGUUCAAGACAAGGAACAAAUUUGGAGUUACGUGAAGAAGAAAUACAUCAUCCCUGAAGAAGGUAAAGACUAUGCUUUGUCAUCAGUGGAAAAACUUUGGCGUAAAUAUAAAUGUAGUGUAAAGGCAAAGCACUUUACUCCGUACGACAAUGAUGGUGAUAGGUUGGCAGAUCCCCCCGAUACAGUUCCAGAGGAGCAUUUCAAAGACUUGCUAGAAUUUUAGAAGUUGGAAUCAGUCCAGCAUGCAGGAAGACAACAAAAAAAAGGGAGAUAAGUAUAGAUCAAAAAGAUAGGCACACUAUGGGUCCUAUGACUUUCGCUAGGAAACAACAUAAAUUGAUGUUGAAAAUAAGCCACCAUCCCUAGCACUCGUGUACAAAGAAAGUCGUAAAAGGAAAGCAGGCAAAACAUACAAAACAUCUUAUGAGCCCACCCAAAGUAACAUUGACAAGAUAGAGGAGGUCCAAAUGCAAAGUGAAAUUGGUGGAGAUGUUGCAUACUAUGAAGUAAUGGAUAAACCAAAUAACUUAGGACAUAAAAAAAAGCAACUGGGGAUAUAUUCAAUAAGGGGAAAGAGCAGCAAACCAAUAAUUCCUGAUGAGUUCUUAAAGCCUUAUAAAGACCAAAUUGUGAAAGAUAAUGUAGCAGAAUUAUUGAAGACGCUCAAUCAAAUUGAUCCUAGAGUGUUGGAUACUUUGACUCGAUCACUUGAAAAUGUGUCAUCUAAUCCAGAACAUGUACACUCUAUUGAACAAGAGCAAAAUGAGGAUCAAAUGGGUCAAAAUGAAAGAUUGGAGUAGCAAGUAAUGUUGCCACAAGAUAAACAAUUACUUUUUCCCGGGACCGAAAAGUGUGGAGUUGUCUGUUGUUACUGCUGCUGUCAAUGUUUCUGUUGCUCGCUAUCAAUGUUGCUGUCAAUGUUACGCUAUUGUUGUUGCUGCUGUUAUGCUGUUACGUUAUUGCUGCUGUUGCUGUUAUGUUGUUACGUUAUUGCUGCUGCUGCUGUUACGUCGCUGCUGCUGCUGCUGCUGUUACUGUCGUCGUUGCUGCUGCUGCUGUUACUGUCGUCGUUGCUGCUGCUGCUGCUGCUGCUGUCACUGUUGUCGUUGCUGCUGCUGCUGCUGUUACUGUUACGGUUGUCGUUGCUGCUGCUGUUACGAUUGUCGUUGUUGUUGUUACGUUGUCGCUGCUGCUGUUACGGUUGUUGUUGUCGUUGAUGUCAUAUCUUCGUCUGUUACUGCUGUCUUAUGCUACUGCGUUAAUGUUAUUUGCCUUUUCCUGUUUUGGAAUUUGGUGGUCUAGAAAUAGAACUUGACCGAAGUUGACUUUCUUUUUUGUUUUGAUUAUUAGAUUGUUUAGCAAAACAAAAAAAAUUGGUGUAUGUGGAUGUUUUUUUUAACAAAUUUUAUAUGAGAUCAUAUCAAUUCAAAAAUUGGUGCAUGCAAUGUUAAUAUUGUUUUUAUAUUUUAAAAAGUAAAAAAAUGUACGUUGCCUCACUAGUACAAAAGUGUUCUUAGGUAACACCAAAUUUUAACACUUUUAAAGUUGUAAAAUUAUUCAAUAUAUAAGUAGCACUUUGGUAACACUUUAAUUUUAGGUAACACUUAUUUGUAACACUUAAUAUUAGGUAACACUAAUUUGUAACGCUUUAAUAAACAGUAACACUAAUUUGUAACACUUAAAAAUUUCAUACAGAGUAUCAAAUUAAUUCACUAAAAUUUGUUGACCACUGUUUUUUACUCGUUGAGUUUUAUGUACAGCAAGAAAUUAGGGAAGCUUGGACUAAACCCAACUAAAUUAGUAUUAGCUUCCCUUAUAAAAAAAAUUAAAAAAAUAUUUAAAAAAUGGAAAAUUGCCUCGAAACAUAAUAGACAUCUCCGUCCUCCGUCCUCUGUCCUCCGUCCUCCACCUCUCAUCUCUUUGUUUCUUCCAUCUUUUGUCCUCCAUCUUCCAUUCAUACAAAAAUUUCUUCACCCCUACAACGACAGUCGUCGGCCAUCAUAGUGUAAUUAUAUUGAGAUUAACUAAAUCCAACAUAUUGCAUUGAUGUCUCUCAUACUCUUACAAAAUAUAAGGGCUUUGAUUUUCUCUUUUCAAACCCUAAAUUAUGUAAGUUCAAUCAUCUCGCAAUUCUUAUUUCACUAAUUUAAGCUUUCCGAAGUUUGAUUUCUUCACAAUUGUAAUGAGCGCUUCUAAUUUCAUGGUCUUAAUCGUGGGCUUGAUCGGGUUUUAUCAAAUUUCCAGGCUUCAAAUUUCAGGUUUUAGGAGAAAAUGGAAGGAUUUCCCCCAAAAGCUUUUGCAGAAAUGGCGUGUUUUCUCUAAAUAGAGAUAAGAACACCGUAUGUGUAUAGUAUGUGUGAAAAAGCUAAUUGUGUUCCUUGAAAAGCUGGUUGCCAAAGUCGAAAGGAGGUUAAGAUGUCAGAUUAUUAAAGACCAGGGCAAAAGAGGAUAGAAGAUAAUAGAUAAAAAAUGAAGGAAUUGGAGCGGGGGUUGAAUUAAUGAGUUACCAAGUAAGUAAAAUGGUGAAUAGCUCAUAACAAAUGAAGAGGAGUAUGAUGCAAUCGCAGAAGGUGGUAAAAGAUAGUGACGAGUACAUACCUGGUGUAGAGGGUGAACUAAAUCACUCAAGUGAAGUGGAUACCAAUGAGAUGAGGACAAGGAGUGUAAACUUGAGUUCUGGCUCUAAUAAGGUUUCGGCAAUGAGAGGGAGAAGUCCCACUAAGAUGAAAGAGACUUUAGAAGGAUAAGAUUACUAUUAGCAGUAUUUAUAAUGUUUUCAACUUGUCUACUCUUCUUUGGUUGUCAUGGAUGUAUAGUCGAAAGAAGGCAGGUGAUGCAUCUAAACAAGAAGGAAAUGACUAGUCCAGGACCGAUGAUAAGUCUUGCAUAUAGGAAGGGAAGAAGAACAAAAUUGCAAGAUAGAUACGCGGACAACAAAUCUGAGCUGAAGAAAAUGACAUAUCUGAAGAUGUCUCUAAACAUUGUAGUUAAUAUUGCACAUUCAUUUUUUUAGGGAUCAAGAAGUUUUGGUGUUGCGGUUGUUGUUCUGUACUAUUCGAAUUCGGGCAUUGGAGUGGUGUGGGUGUUACUUUGGUAAUAUUGGUGGCUUUUGCUUCUAAGGAGGUUAUGCAGACUGGUACAGUUGAUGUGUAGUGUCAGGUGGCAGCAGUUGUGAGGUGUUCAGUUAAUUAGUCGGUACGUGCAGGCAGUUCAGUUGGAUGUUGUGUUGUGCAGCGUUUAGCAGCUGGUUGUAGGUUCUGCUUUUUUAUGUUGUGUUGUUUGGUUCUGUAGUUUCAACUAAGGGUUGAUUCCUUGUAGCUUCUAUUUGUGUUUGUUUGUUAGGGAGCGGGUUGUGCUCCCUUCCUUUAGUUGGUUUUGUUAUUUUCUUGUUUGUAACUCAUUUUUUCUCCUACUAAUUUUGGUAAUAAAAUCGAUGUUUUACCCAAAAAAUUAAAUUAUAGUAUUCUAUAAAUAUUAUUAUUAUUGGUGAA
Long non-coding RNA from Spinacia oleracea (spinach), 4025 nucleotides. RefSeq lists it as uncharacterized. The transcript is spliced from 10 exons. The record is from RefSeq and is a predicted model, not a curated record. Lineage: Eukaryota; Viridiplantae; Streptophyta; Magnoliopsida; Caryophyllales; Amaranthaceae.